AACGAACGCUGGCGGCAUGCCUAACACAUGCAAGUCGAACGAAGCCUUCGGGCUUAGUGGCGCACGGGUGCGUAACGCGUGGGAAUCUGCCCUUGGGUUCGGAAUAACAGUUAGAAAUGACUGCCAAUACCGGAUGAUGUCUUCGGACCAAAGAUUUAUCGCCCAAGGAUGAGCCCGCGUAGGAUUAGGUAGUUGGUGGGGUAAUGGCCCACCAAGCCGACGAUCCUUAGCUGGUCUGAGAGGAUGAUCAGCCACACUGGGACUGAGACACGGCACAGACUCCUACGGGAGGCAGCAGUGGGGAAUAUUGGACAAUGGGCGAAAGCCUGAUCCAGCAAUGCCGCGUGAGUGAUGAAGGCCUUAGGGUUGUAAAGCUCUUUUACCAGGGAUGAUAAUGACAGUACCUGGAGAAUAAGCUCCGGCUAACUCCGUGCCAGCAGCCGCCGCGG
Molecule: ribosomal RNA, 449 nt
Filed under: uncultured bacterium
Lineage: Bacteria
Description: partial 16S ribosomal RNA
Rfam family: Bacterial small subunit ribosomal RNA
Source: RNAcentral